UCCCCAUUUUUCUCUCAUGAAGUCUCA
RNAcentral lists this non-coding RNA (27 nucleotides) under Mus musculus (house mouse). Lineage: Eukaryota; Metazoa; Chordata; Mammalia; Rodentia; Muridae. The record is from RNAcentral.